This 448-nucleotide ribosomal RNA is filed under the name uncultured bacterium. RNAcentral's name for it is "bacterial SSU rRNA". It matches the Rfam family "Bacterial small subunit ribosomal RNA", at positions 64 to 507 of the family's 1533-position model. The record is from RNAcentral.
GAGCGGAUGAAGGGAGCUUGCUCCUGAAUUCAGCGGCGGACGGGUGAGUAAUGCCUAGGAAUCUGCCUGGUAGUGGGGGACAACGUUUCGAAAGGAACGCUAAUACCGCAUACGUCCUACGGGAGAAAGCAGGGGACCUUCGGGCCUUGCGCUAUCAGAUGAGCCUAGGUCGGAUUAGCUAGUUGGUGAGGUAAUGGCUCACCAAGGCGACGAUCCGUAACUGGUCUGAGAGGAUGAUCAGUCACACUGGAACUGAGACACGGUCCAGACUCCUACGGGAGGCAGCAGUGGGGAAUAUUGGACAAUGGGCGAAAGCCUGAUCCAGCCAUGCCGCGUGUGUGAAGAAGGUCUUCGGAUUGUAAAGCACUUUAAGUUGGGAGGAAGGGCAGUAAAUUAAUACUUUGCUGUUUUGACGUUACCGACAGAAUAAGCACCGGCUAACUCGGUG